CACAUAUACAUCUUUUUUAUAGCUCCUAAAAUGAGGCAAAUAAGCUGUGCAUCAUCUCUGUGAUUUGGGAAGGAAAUGACUGAAUAUGAUGGAGCCAGUUGAUGAAGAUAUCAAUUGAAUGGCCACCGAGUGCAUCACUGCUACCUGAACCCAUCAGUUAUCUGCUGUGAAGACUGCAUUUACAAACCGCUCUACUGCGACAGCUCAGAUGUUACGGCCUGUAAAAGUAAACAUCACAGCUAAACAACGAGAGCUAGUUGUGGUGGGAUUCUUUUGGCCAAUAUCCCCAACAAGAAUCAAUGACAUCUAGACCAGGUGGAGUGUGAGGAGGACCGUCAGAGACUCCAGCCAGCCGAGCCAUGGAUUGCUCUCACUGUUACCAUCAGGCAGACGUUAUCACAGAACCUACACCAGCAGACAGUGAGACAAGUUCCUUUCACAGGCAAUCAGACUGAACUGAACUCAUACCAGUAAAACCAUACACACCCCACCAACCUCAUAUGCCCUGCACUCUUAUCAGUUAUGCUGACUGGACUCAAUAUUAUUAUGCACCCUGACAUUCUGUUUGCACUAAUUCAUACCGUGCUUUACUGCAGAGAUGUAUGUGUACUGUGAUUAUUAUUGUUUUCAAUUCAUGCUCUUUGUAUAGCAUAAUUUUUAACAUAUAUUGUUAUCUACCUGAAUUGAGUCCCUUAUAUAUGUGUGUUGCAUA
Molecule: long non-coding RNA, 712 nt
Organism: Carassius auratus (goldfish)
Lineage: Eukaryota; Metazoa; Chordata; Actinopteri; Cypriniformes; Cyprinidae
Exons: 3
Source: RefSeq, a predicted model, not a curated record